Molecule: ribosomal RNA, 240 nt
Filed under: uncultured eukaryote
Lineage: Eukaryota
Description: partial 18S ribosomal RNA
Rfam family: Eukaryotic small subunit ribosomal RNA
Source: RNAcentral
AGAAAUCUCACCAGGCCCGGACACUGGAAGGAUUGACAGACUGAGAGCUCUUUCUCGAUUCGGUGGGUGGUGGUGCAUGGCCGUUCUUAGUUGGUGGAGCGAUCUGUCUGGUUAAUUCCGAUAACGAACGAGACCCCAACCUGCUAACUAGCCCUCGGGUCCUGCUUCUGUUGGGCCCGACGGAAUGAUUCGCUUCUUAGAGGGACUCGCGGCGCCUAGCCGCACGAAGGGGGGCGAUAA